GAAUAUAACUCAGUAGGUAGAGUGCUUGCCUCACAAGCACAAGGCCUUGGGUUCAAUCUCCAGCAUCA
This 68-nucleotide transfer RNA is filed under the name Marmota monax (woodchuck). Its description in RNAcentral is "tRNA.Val". Lineage: Eukaryota; Metazoa; Chordata; Mammalia; Rodentia; Sciuridae. The record is from RNAcentral.